GUACUACUAGCUUAACGGUAGAGCUCCCCAAUGUCACUGGGGCGGGUGUCAGUUCGAUUCUGAUGUAGUGCG
This 72-nucleotide transfer RNA is filed under the name Candida gigantensis. Its description in RNAcentral is "tRNA-Asp". It matches the Rfam family "tRNA". From Rfam's summary of the family: Transfer RNA (tRNA) molecules are approximately 80 nucleotides in length. Their secondary structure includes four short double-helical elements and three loops (D, anti-codon, and T loops). Further hydrogen bonds mediate the characteristic L-shaped molecular structure. tRNAs have two regions of fundamental functional importance: the anti-codon, which is responsible for specific mRNA codon recognition, and the 3' end, to which the tRNAs corresponding amino acid is attached (by aminoacyl-tRNA synthetases). tRNAs cope with the degeneracy of the genetic code in two manners: having more than one tRNA (with a specific anti-codon) for a particular amino acid; and 'wobble' base-pairing, i.e. permitting non-standard base-pairing at the 3rd anti-codon position. Lineage: Eukaryota; Fungi; Ascomycota; Pichiomycetes; Serinales; Debaryomycetaceae. The record is from RNAcentral.